This 210-nucleotide ribosomal RNA is filed under the name Salmonella enterica subsp. enterica. RNAcentral's name for it is "partial 23S ribosomal RNA". It matches the Rfam family "Bacterial large subunit ribosomal RNA", at positions 2701 to 2925 of the family's 2925-position model. The record is from RNAcentral. Lineage: Bacteria; Pseudomonadati; Pseudomonadota; Gammaproteobacteria; Enterobacterales; Enterobacteriaceae.
ACGUACCACUGGUUUACCGGUUGUCCCGCCAGGGGCACCGCCGGGUAUCUAAGUACGGAUCGGAUAAGUGCUGAAAGCAUCUAAGUACGAAGCCGGCCUCAAGAUUAGAUCUCCCUCAAGGGUGGUUAUAGACGAUGACCUUGAUAGGCCACAGGUGUAAGGGCGGCGACGUCCGAGCCGAGUGGUACUAAUAGCCCGGGACUUUCCUCA